AAGGGAGAAGGGAGAAGGGUAAUCCCCAUAUCGUAUUCUCUAAUAACAACGUUGCUUAAAGCAACACAAAUUUUAUUGUAGCCUGAAGGAGGAAGAUUGAGCUUGACAUGGACUUUGAGUCCAUGCAGCAACGUUUCUCUCUCGAGAAAAGAAAUGAUGCUCUCUUUAUUAACUGGGUGAACUUGCUAAGUCGUAGUGGGAAGUGGCUAUCCAGAUAGACUUAAGUUGAUUCGGAAUUGGAAAGUAAAUAAAUUUGAGGAGGAACACAACCAUGAACUUGCUGAGAAGAUGUGGUUGGUUUUCUUCGCUUACUUUCGAAGUUUGAUAGUGUCAAGAGGCAUGAGUUUGGCAACAUGGGAGAUUGUGAUAUACAGAAGCAGCAGAUCAUUGAUCAUGAGGAGUAUCAGAAUAAUGGAUAUGAGAACAUGGGUUGCACUCGGAUGGACCUUUGUAAUGUAACUUAUCAGACAAACAAAGAGAAGACUGACGAGGGCAAUACAGCCAUUGUCGUCAAAGAAAUGAAGCAUAGGAAAUGUACUGGAUGAUGAAUCUUUGGGUAGUUCUAUAUACACCCCCCCUAUUGCUCAGGACACCCCCCAAAAACCCAAAAAAAAUACCCAAACUAACCUUUAGUGUAAUUACCAUAUUGCCCUUGAGAUUUUCUCAUACACCCCCCUUCCUCCUCCUCCGUUUCGUUUUGAAAAGAAAAAAAAAACCCCCCUCAAACCCCCCUUAAACCCCUCGAUCCAUUUACAUCGUUUAGGCGAUCUUUGAAGGAGAUUUAAGCCCC
RNAcentral lists this long non-coding RNA (790 nucleotides) under Phoenix dactylifera (date palm). RNAcentral describes it as "long non-coding RNA (PDAC_LNC015467)". The record is from RNAcentral. Lineage: Eukaryota; Viridiplantae; Streptophyta; Magnoliopsida; Arecales; Arecaceae.